This 79-nucleotide transfer RNA is filed under the name Schistosoma mansoni. Lineage: Eukaryota; Metazoa; Platyhelminthes; Trematoda; Strigeidida; Schistosomatidae. The record is from RNAcentral.
GAACACUAGCUCAGUGGUUUAGAGGUUAAGCGUUCAUGUGUGAGAUCGAAGGUCGUGGGUUCGAGUCCCGUGUGUGGGG